This 497-nucleotide ribosomal RNA is filed under the name uncultured bacterium. RNAcentral's name for it is "partial 16S ribosomal RNA". It matches the Rfam family "Bacterial small subunit ribosomal RNA", at positions 28 to 507 of the family's 1533-position model. The record is from RNAcentral.
GAUGAACGCUGGCGGCGUGCCUAAUACAUGCAAGUCGAGCGAACGGACGAGAAGCUUGCUUCUCUGAUGUUAGCGGCGGACGGGUGAGUAACACGUGGAUAACCUACCUAUAAGACUGGGAUAACUUCGGGAAACCGUAGCUAAUACCGGAUAAUAUUUUGAACCGCAUGGUUCAAAAGUGAAAGACGGUCUUGCUGUCACUUAUAGAUGGAUCCGCGCUGCAUUAGCUAGUUGGUAAGGUAACGGCUUACCAAGGCAACGAUGCAUAGCCGACUUGAGAGGGUGAUCGGCCACACUGGAACUGAGACACGGUCCAGACUCCUACGGGAGGCAGCAGUAGGGAAUCUUCCGCAAUGGGCGAAAGCCUGACGGAGCAACGCCGCGUGAGUGAUGAAGGUCUUCGGAUCGUAAAACUCUGUUAUUAGGGAAGAACAUAUGUGUAAGUAACUGUGCACAUCUUGACGGUACCUAAUCAGAAAGCCACGGCUAACUACGUG